CUUGGAGCUUGCUCCAGGAUCUUAGCGGCGGACGGGUGAGUAACACGUGGGCAACCUGCCCUGCAGAUCGGGAUAACUCCGGGAAACCGGUGCUAAUACCGAAUAGUUUGCGGCCUCUCAUGAGGCCACACGGAAAGACGGUUUCGGCUGUCACUGCAGGAUGGGCCCGCGGCGCAUUAGCUAGUUGGUGGGGUAACGGCCUACCAAGGCAACGAUGCGUAGCCGACCUGAGAGGGUGAUCGGCCACACUGGGACUGAGACACGGCCCAGACUCCUACGGGAGGCAGCAGUAGGGAAUCUUCCGCAAUGGACGAAAGUCUGACGGAGCAACGCCGCGUGAGUGAAGAAGGUUUUCGGAUYGUAAAACUCUGUUGUGAGGGAAGAACAAGUACCAASUAACUAYUGGUACCUUGACGGUACCUCACCAGAAAGCCACGGCUAACUACGUGCCAGCAGCCGCGGUAAUACGUAGGUGGCAAGCGUUGUCCGGAAUUAUUGGGCGUAAAGCGCGCGCAGGCGGUCCUUUAAGUCUGAUGUGAAAGCCCACGGCUCAACCGUGGAGGGUCAUUGGAAACUGGGGGGACUUGAGUGCAGAAGAGGAAAGUGGAAUUCCACGUGUAGCGGUGAAAUGCGUAGAGAUGUGGAGGAACACC
This 653-nucleotide ribosomal RNA is filed under the name Planococcus maitriensis. RNAcentral describes it as "bacterial SSU rRNA". It matches the Rfam family "Bacterial small subunit ribosomal RNA", at positions 72 to 710 of the family's 1533-position model. The record is from RNAcentral. Lineage: Bacteria; Bacillati; Bacillota; Bacilli; Caryophanales; Caryophanaceae.